GACGAACGCUGGCGGCGUGCUUAACACAUGCAAGUGGAGCGACGAACCAGGCUUCGGCCUGGGGCAAAGCCGCGAACGGGUGAGUAACACGUGGGUAACCUGCCCCGAAGAUCGGGACAACCCGGGGAAACCCGGGCUAAUACCGAAUGUGCUCCCGCCACAUCAGUGGCAGGUGCAAAGGAAGCUUCGGCCUCCGCUUCGGGAGGGGCCCGCGGCCCAUUAGCUUGUUGGUGAGGUAACGGCUCACCAAGGCUCCGAUGGGUAGCUGGUCUGAGAGGACGAUCAGCCACACUGGGACUGAGACACGGCCCAGACUCCUACGGGAGGCAGCAGUGGGGAAUCUUGCGCAAUGCGCGAAAGCGUGACGCAGCAACGCCGCGUGGGGGAAGAAGGCCUU
RNAcentral lists this ribosomal RNA (397 nucleotides) under uncultured bacterium. RNAcentral's name for it is "bacterial SSU rRNA". It matches the Rfam family "Bacterial small subunit ribosomal RNA", at positions 28 to 418 of the family's 1533-position model. The record is from RNAcentral.